Molecule: non-coding RNA, 176 nt
Filed under: Cyanobacteria bacterium UBA9579
Lineage: Bacteria; Bacillati; Cyanobacteriota
Description: 6S RNA
Rfam family: 6S / SsrS RNA
About the family: E. coli 6S RNA was the first non coding RNA to be sequenced, but its function was unknown until recently. It consists of 184 nucleotides that fold into an extended hairpin structure with a large single-stranded internal bulge.
Source: RNAcentral
UUAAUGCUCCUUGCAGAUCGUUUCGUUUUGAUCCUACAAUUUCAAUAAGAGGGAGUUCUAUCUCUAAGAAUGAUGACGUAAACCUAACGCGUAUUAGGAAACGGUAAAUUAUUCGGGGGGACCCCCACCUGUGUGAGGAACAUGGGUAUCAAAACAUCGGUCUCUUGGGGCAUUUC